AAAUAACCACUUGUAGGUUUUAUUACCCGAACUCCCUCGGGGCCACCCAGGCCACCCACUUGGCCCUUCCAGGAAUACCACCAAUCAGAAAUCCCUCCUCCGGAACUUCCCCAACCAAUGAGAACUCCAAAGUAGCGGGACAGCAGGGGUCUAAUAUACAAUUGAAUACACAGCUUAACAUAACCAUCAUCAUCUCAAUGGCUAGCUGGUCACCUCAGCAAUAAGCUAUUUGCCUGAUCAAUGAGAUACAUUUUUUUGUUCUAUUUUUGCUAUCAGAUGCCAAUUAACUUAUUUUAGUAUUUUUACCUUGUUCCCCCCCACCACCUUUUGGUGUUUUCUUUUUUGAGACAGAGUCUUGUUAAGUUUCCCAGGCUGGCCUCCAGCUUGCAAUCCACCUGCCUCAGCCUCCUGAGUAGCAUACAC
RNAcentral lists this long non-coding RNA (423 nucleotides) under Marmota monax (woodchuck). The record is from RNAcentral. Lineage: Eukaryota; Metazoa; Chordata; Mammalia; Rodentia; Sciuridae.